Molecule: transfer-messenger RNA, 397 nt
Filed under: Endozoicomonadaceae bacterium
Lineage: Bacteria; Pseudomonadati; Pseudomonadota; Gammaproteobacteria; Oceanospirillales; Endozoicomonadaceae
Rfam family: transfer-messenger RNA
About the family: Bacterial tmRNA, also known as 10Sa RNA or SsrA, is named for its dual tRNA and mRNA-like properties. Its role is to liberate the mRNA from a stalled ribosome.
Source: RNAcentral
GGGGGCGAUUAGGAUUCGACGGUGGUUACAAAACCUGCGGUGCAUGUCGGGAGGGUAACAACUUCCGUGACCAAAUGUUACAAUUUUAUAGUUGCCAAAAACGACGCAACUUUCGGCGCAGCAGCUCCAGUAAGACUGGCUGCUUAAUCACUGCUUAAGAAACAGUGACGUCGCAAUCCAUCCGGUUUGUCUGUUGGCUGGUUUUCGGGUUGUCAUCUUAAACAGGAUCGCCUCAGGUAAUGCUGUCUGACGUUACCAGGUUAAACUUUUAUCAGUCUCGCUUUAUGGCACCCUGACUGCUGGGUCAUCAUAAAGUUAAACUAAAGGCAGCUCUAAGCAUGUAGAGCCAAUGGCUGCGGAUUGCCGGACGCGGGUUCAAAUCCCGCCGCCUCCACCA